CGGUGUUCUGAUCCCAGAAGGACAUGCUCCUCCCCUAGCCUGCUGUGAAGGCUUAUGUGUUCCUCUAACUCAGAAUCCCCUUAGUUGGACUCCUUGGGCCUCACCAGGAAGACCUCUAUCCUUUGCCAACUCCUGACUUUGGCACCUUGCAUUUGGUGACUGUCUAGCACAGUAGGUUAGGUAGCCGGAGACCCUGACUGGUAGGCCUGAGGCCGCUCUGCCUGUGGCCUGACAUGCUCUCUGUCCUGCUCUAGAUCAAUGGCAUUGCACUGGACAACAAGUCUCUGAAUGAAUGUGAAUCUCUGCUGCGGAGCUGCCAGGACUCCCUGACCCUGUCCCUCCUGAAGGUGUUCCCUCAGAGCUCCUCGUGGAGUGGCCAGAACAUUUUUGAAAAUAUCAAAGACUCUGAUAAGAUGCUGAGUUUUCGAGCCCAUGGCCUGGAGGUCCAGGCUCAUAACAAACGGAACUUGAUACAGCACAAUAACUCCACACAGACAGACAUCUUCUACACGGACAGGCUGGAAGACAGGAAGGAGCCAGGCCCCCCAGGAGGCAGCAGCUCCUUUCUGCACAAGCCAUUCCCUGGGGGACCCUUGCAGGUCUGCCCCCAGGCCUGUCCCAGUGCCUCUGAGCGUAGCCUGAGCUCCUUCCGCGCAGAUGCCUCUGG
RNAcentral lists this small RNA (667 nucleotides) under Pongo abelii (Sumatran orangutan). RNAcentral describes it as "retained intron". The record is from RNAcentral. Lineage: Eukaryota; Metazoa; Chordata; Mammalia; Primates; Hominidae.